This 529-nucleotide ribosomal RNA is filed under the name uncultured Methylobacter sp. Its description in RNAcentral is "bacterial SSU rRNA". It matches the Rfam family "Bacterial small subunit ribosomal RNA", at positions 202 to 719 of the family's 1533-position model. The record is from RNAcentral. Lineage: Bacteria; Pseudomonadati; Pseudomonadota; Gammaproteobacteria; Methylococcales; Methylococcaceae.
AGGGGACCUUCGGGCCUUUCGCUAACAGAUGAGCCUGCGUUGGAUUAGCUAGUUGGUGGGGUAAGGGCCCACCAAGGCGACGAUCCAUAGCUGGUCUGAGAGGACGAUCAGCCACACUGGGACUGAGACACGGCCCAGACUCCUACGGGAGGCAGCAGUGGGGAAUAUUGGACAAUGGGCGCAAGCCUGAUCCAGCAACACCGCGUGUGUGAAGAAGGCCCUAGGGUUGUAAAGCACUUUCAAUUGGGAGGAAAACCUGCCGGCCAAUACCCGGUAGCUUGACAUUACCUUUAGAAGAAGCACCGGCUAACUCCGUGCCAGCAGCCGCGGUAAUACGGAGGGUGCGAGCGUUAAUCGGAAUUACUGGGCGUAAAGCGUGCGUAGGCGGUUCGUUAAGUCAGAUGUGAAAGCCCUGGGCUCAACCUGGGAACUGCAUUUGAAACUGGCGGACUAGAGUUUAGUAGAGGGGAGUGGAAUUUCAGGUGUAGCGGUGAAAUGCGUAGAUAUCUGAAGGAACACCAGUGGCGAA